CUUCGUUUGGGCUCUUAGACCCAAUUCUCAACAUUUUCGAACACCAACCCCCUUGCCGGAAACGGCGAUUUUUACGGCGGCGGAGAAGCAACACGGCGGAGGGAACGAAGGAGCGUGGUAUGGGGCAUUACGGCGGCAAAGAUGCAGGCCCCCCAAAUGCGAUGUGUAUGGGGCAUCACGGCGGUGCUAUUGUCACAGUGGCGGUGCUCCGCGGCGGCGAAAAACGCUGUAACGGCGGAGGAAGAAGAAAACAUAGGGAAGAGGAUAAAGAUAGUAUCAAUGUAACUUCACUGGCAUACCAUGAAAAGUGGCUCAGAUUACACUUCACCCUCACGUUCUCACCUUCACCAUUGACCAUACACAUUCUUCAUUGUUAGCAUUUCCAUGCCUGCACACUCUCAUUUGGACCUCACCAUUCACACACACACACACACCCUUGAGCCAACUCUUCAACCUUUGAUCCAUAAUGGGUCUGUUGAAGAUUUUGGCUCAAGGGUUUGCCCACAUUUUGAGGCUAAAAAGAUUGGCAUGCCUCCUUGGUCUGAGGAUCCUAAAGACCAGGAUAAGCACAACUUGUUGCAGAAAUCUGAGGUUAAGUUUGUGAACCAAGUGAUGGGACCGGAGAGCAUUGUAUUUGAUCCUCUUGGUCGCGGCCCUUAUGUCGGUAUCGCGGAUGGAAGAAUCUUGUUCUGGAAUGGACACUCUUGGGAUAACUUUGCCUAUACCUCCCCUAACAGGUCAGCAAUAUGUAAUCCUUUAGCAUCUGCGACACCGCUUAGUUAUGUGAGGACUGAGCAUAUCUGUGGAAGGCCUUUGGGACUCAGAUUUCACGAGAAAACAGGAACUUCCUUCAGUUGGUAUUUUCAGGGGAUGACACUGGCAAGGUUUUGAAAUACAAUCCUGCCACUAAGGAAACCUCUGUUCUUCUGAGGAACAUUCAAUUUCCAAAUGGAAUUUCGUUAAGCAAGGAUGGCUCCUUCUUUGUCUUUUGUGAAGCAGGCUACUGGCAGGCUGCGUAAAUACUGGCUGAAAGGAGAGAAGGCUGGGACUUCAGAGAUCUUAGCCAUCUUACCUGGAUCUCCAGACAAUGUGAGAGUCAAUGAAAAUGGUGAUUUUUGGGUGGCUCUUCAUUGUAGGAGGAGUACGUAUG
This is an RNA transcript of Lotus japonicus, 1150 nucleotides long. It is a transcript of the gene named protein STRICTOSIDINE SYNTHASE-LIKE 3-like, with no coding region annotated. The transcript has 4 exons. The record is from RefSeq and is a predicted model, not a curated record. Lineage: Eukaryota; Viridiplantae; Streptophyta; Magnoliopsida; Fabales; Fabaceae.